Molecule: ribosomal RNA, 253 nt
Filed under: uncultured bacterium
Lineage: Bacteria
Description: partial 16S ribosomal RNA
Rfam family: Bacterial small subunit ribosomal RNA
Source: RNAcentral
UACAGAGGGUGCAAGCGUUGUUCGGAAUUACUGGGCGUAAAGCGCGUGUAGGCGGUCUGGUAAGUCGGUCGUGAAAUCCCUAGGCUUAACCUAGGAACUGCGAUCGAAACUGUUAGACUUGAGUAUCGGAGGGGAUGGCGGAAUUCCUGGUGUAGAGGUGAAAUUCGUAGAUAUCAGGAGGAACACCUGUGGCGAAGGCGGCCAUCUGGAAGAUUACUGACGCUGAGACGCGAAAGCGUGGGGAGCAAACAGG